GCUAAAUUUUUUUUAAAAAGUCUCUUACUUAUUUUAAUACUUCAGAUAAAUAUAUUUGAAAUUUGAUGUAAUUUUAAAAAUAUCAUUGCAUAAUAUGGCAAAUUUGACUGUUUUUAGUAUAGUCAAGAGAAUAUAAUGACAUACCAUCACAUAGUCAAUUAAACAAAUUCCAGAGAACAGCUAUUAUCUAGUUGGACUACUAACCUACAUGCUUACUGCCUUGUUUAGAAGGUUGGAAACAAAGAUUAUACAGGAACAAAAAGAAUUCCUUCUCAAUUUCACAUGCAAAGAUUUGGAAAAACAUGAAGCUCUCUCUUUUGGGAGUGAUGAGACCUCAGAAGGCAGGAAAUAUAAUGUAUGAAAAUAAAAAUACUGGAUCCAUAAGACAUCUGUGCUCAGAGGGGGCAAUGCUUUUGAAUAGUCAUGAAAAAUCAAGUUUCCACCAAGAAUAUUUGUAUAAUCAAAGCAAGUUAAACAAUGAAUCGUGUUGAACUGGCAUUUCUCAUCCAAAAGCAGAGUGAUGGAGCUAAGGUACCUGAAUAUUUGUGUAUAUAUGGGAAACUUCCAAGUGUGUAUCCUUGCAUGCAGUCACUAAAAAGAUGUUGAAUAUUUAUUAAAUACCUAAUCCAACUAAUAAAAUGAAUGUGAUCAAUGAAGAACA
RNAcentral lists this long non-coding RNA (661 nucleotides) under Oryctolagus cuniculus (rabbit). RNAcentral's name for it is "lncRNA (ENSOCUG00000034674.1)". Lineage: Eukaryota; Metazoa; Chordata; Mammalia; Lagomorpha; Leporidae. The record is from RNAcentral.